ACCCAACCAAAGUUUUGCACCAAACAAAGAUAACAAACUGGUUGCAGAACUUGAUAUGAAACUUUCAGCACUUGUGCACAUAAACCAACUAAUCUUUCAGACUUUCUCUCUGAACCUUUCUCAACUUUUUUUUUUCACUUCACUUUUUUUUGCACUUUCUUUUCUUUUUUUUUGACACACUUUUUCUAUAUAUAGAACUAAAACAGGGAUCAGAUUAUGAUAAUUGCACAACUAAAGGCAGAAAUAAAACAACAACCAGUAGCUAGAUAGGAUCAAAGUUAACACAAAUGAUGAUAUAGGCUAUAGAGUUUUUUUGUGGGGAUUUUUAGAUAUAAAAGAGGCACAAAGAACACGCGAAGGAUAAAUCAUCAGCAACUAAAACAAAGACUCUAAUGGACUGUGACUUAACAGAACUCACUAAAAUAACAGAUUGAAACAGAGGUCUAAGCAAUAUAUUUUUCUGGCUUUUUGGUGGAUAGGACGAAGCAAAAUAUAUAUGUAGCUAGGGAUAAAAUUCCUACCGUGGUAACGAAAGCUUUGAUACCAGAUGAUGCGACACAUUGUCCCGAUCUUCACGACGUAGGAUGAACACCGAUAACUAGCUGAAGAACAGCUGGAUAACUUGCUGCAAGCAGCGAUAACUAGUGCAACAUGGCAAAUAAAACUCGAAGCCAACCACCGUUUUUAACCGGCAACCUGAAUCAAGGAUUCGCGCAACCACACUCUCAAGGAACCAACCAACACAGCCUACAAUCAAUCAAGGAAUACUUUGAAGGGUGUAGGAGCACCAAUUGGGAGCAGAUGAAGCCGCCGCCUAUCUAAUCCCACGAAGAAAUCACAAGAGCAAAGGGGUAGAGAUCACUCUCUGAAUUUGUUAGCACAUAGCUGAACAAAGGGGUUCUGUAUUUCAAUUAUCAAAAGUCUAGGAUUACAUUGAGUCUUAGGGGGUAUUUAUACUAGCAACAGCCCUGCUAGAUACGUAUGAAAACGAAAUAGAGUUUCUGAGGGAAGACAAUAUGAAAGGUCCCCUCGAAAUGGUUUCCCGAAGUGGCUUCGUGUGACUGUUGGUCUCCAGAGCAGUUUCUAAUAAACUGACCAUAACAUUUUAUUGGGAAGUCCAAAUGAUGAACCGUUUCUUGGGUGUGAAACUAGACUCAAAGGGCUUUCCAGGAAUUUAUGCCAACCAGCACGAUACAUUGUAGAUUGGUACAGUUUUACUUGGCAAGUUGUACUAACAUUCUGUCACGACAUACUAUUGACCUUCUGAGUAGUCUGUACUAAUUUUGGUUUGAAAGCAAUAUGGUGUAUCCAAACAGGUCGCCACUAGAUUCAUUGGAAAGUAGACUCGACAGGAUUUCCAACAUGUCCUCAUGGACCUUCAUAGUUUUUGUGACUGAAAAGUUAUGAAGAUUUCUUUGCACUGGUCCGUUUUUGACUUCCACUGGUCCGUUUUUGACAUCUUCUAGAACAUGCACUGCUCCGUUCUUCAGGUCUGAUUCGUCCUUCUCUUCUUCUAUAUACAUGAGUACACUCAAGGUGCAACACUUAGGUAGUAUAUAAUUCUUAUUAAUGUUAAAAUGAAUCUCACAAAGUAGCGCGUGGACCUCUUGUUGUAGCUUUUUUGCACGACUACGUGUAAUCGGUCCAUCGAUGACUUGGGCUGGUGUCAGUGUAGGUGAAACUUGAGUGGGUGUAGCUUGACUUGGAGCUUGUGGCAUCUUGCUUGGUGGUGUGGUCAUAUCAGAAAAGCUUUCCGAGCAGGAAUUUACUGGCCGUCCGCUAUAGCCGACGCCGAGAUGCUGAUCCGGUGAUAUGAGGGUUGUCAGUUCUUUGCCAAGAGGACUCAUAUACCCGCUCACUAAAUCCAAACGAUACCAUCAUCUUGGCCAUUCGCCUGCUAGGGCCUAGAAAUGAUUGGGCCAUUCAAACCUGCUCCCGACAAUUUCAAGUUCGUAUUUGUGUUGGUCAACAAGUUCUCCAAGUGGAUUGAGUACAUGCCAUUGAUCAAAGCAACUUCAGAAAAAGCUAUAGAAUUUCUCAAUCAGAUCAUACACCGAUUCGGGGUUCCUAAUAGCAUAAUCACUGACUUAGGUACUCAGUUCACUGACACUACAUUGUGGGACUUGUGUGAUGACAGAGGCAUAGUCAUAAAGUACGUGUCGAUAGCUCAUCCCUGAGCCAAUGGACAAGUCGAGCGAGCCAAUGGGACAAUUGUAGAUGCCUUAAAAAAGAGGCUAUACAAUGAAAACGACAAAGCAUCGGGAAGGUGGAUGAAAGAAUUGCCAGCCGUGGGGGUCUCUGAACACAGCCUAGUCGGAACACUGGUGUAUCCCCCUAUUUCAUGGUAUACGGGGCCGAGGCGGUGCUUGUGGUAGAACCUCCUAAGUGUUUGGGUCCACCGACACCUAUCAUUGUCCUAAGGACCUCUGACGGUGAUGCCGGGGAUCCUCCCACUUUAGAAGCCCGAUGAGCACCCCAGGAUGCCCAUCUCACUACUACCUAUGGCGUAACAACCAGGCUCAUCAUAACCACCGGCGAUGGUCAAUUAACGAGAACUUCUUCUUCUCGCCCUUUCAGGAUAGCAAGUGGCCACCUUAACACCAGGAUCAUUCGUUGCGAAGACAUUGCAUUAUCACCAAUGAUAUAUAACCAAAAUAGCAUUUCGAAGUAAAACCGCGGAAGCAUUAGAUAACUUAAUUUACAAAAGUAGUUCUUCCAAGUAGUAAAGUGUUAUUACAAGCCAGGUCCAGCAGAGCAACUUAAACCAUAGUACACAGAUUACAAAUUUACAGACCCUACCCAUGGGUCACGCUCACUCUUCCUCGUCGUCAACCUCGAUGACAGUCACACAACAGGGUCUGAAACAAGUCGGCUCCUGAGCUUCACCUGCAACAGGGGUUAUAAAACCCUGAGUACAGGAGUACUCAACAAGACUUACCUGGUAGAAAAAGAGAACUUAGGAAUGCAGGCUUAGGGUAGACAAGGGGUGGUUGAGCAAGGAGCCAAAUCGUUUUGCUGAAAAGCUUACUAAUAGUGCAUCCUUACUUUCGUGUUUUACCCAUGAGUUCCUCUCCUCAAGAGGCCGAGGAGUUUGAGGACAGUCUAUCUAGUUGCUCCUCAAAGACAAGUCUGUAAGUUCCUAGUCCUUGAUCAAAGUAUUAUCCAUCCAACGGCCAUAGCUUCAUGUCACUCUAAGUCUGGAAAUUGGGAUUCAAACCUCAUUUGACAUUUCCCCCUUUUUCAUUUUACAACUUAGUUGCAUAUUUAACUACGAUGAGGGUCGAAGGAAUUGACUCUCCCAAUCGGGGAGCAACGACGAUUCAAAUCGCUUAGCAAUCCAGCUGGAGUUCCUAACCACUCGACGUAUGUAGAACCAAAUAUUGCAUAUGUCAGUAGGGUACAUGGCACCCGAGAGCACAGUACCCCACCAUCCAGCCCAUUUGCCAGUAGGGUACACGCUACUCUCGCCAUCGCUCCACGCCUAGUGCGCGAGUAGCCGUUCGCGUCGAGGGAUCACAAGACUGCGCUUACCGAGGGCAAGUGGUUAGUACUAUAAAUUCUCAACCCAGUAGGCCAUCAACGGAACGGUCCUUAAUCGAUACAGUUUGAGACACUACUUUAAGACUCCAUUAUUAAAGCAAGUCCAUCGAUCGGUCUCAAGUUGAAACAUCAUUGACCAUAAGAGUAUUCCACAACAACCCUUCAAACUUUCUUGUUUGAAAACCAAUCUAGUAGCAGGGCUAAGCAUCACUACGCAAUUUUAAAAUAAAACAUGUGCCAAGGACAAGAUAACAAAUAUCAAGGUAGUAAAUGCAACAAUUAGGUUAACCCAAUUCUCAACUACGUAAUGCAGCAUUUUCAAUUCAUAAGUGAUAAAAGAUUUAAAAUAUUCAAGGAGGGGUUAAUGCAUCCGGGGCUUGCCUUGGUUGUAGAGCUGAGUGGGUUCCUCGGAGACUUCCCAAGUCUCGGAUCCUACUUCCUCGAACGGAGCACCGACCUCAGGGUUCGGUUGAACGGUCGCUCCUUCGGUCACAUGUACUAUAUGCAAAAUGAUGGAUGCUCAUGAUAUGCAUAUGACAAAUAUUUAAGAAGGACCGAGUUGAAUACAACUUUCCUUCUCGGUGCAAGGACAGGUUAAACAGUAAUUAAAGUUGUUUAUCAUUUUAGUGUUUUUACCCAAGAGGUUGCAUGAGUAAAUUAAGAUUUCCCUUAAUUCAUAAUUAUCCUUAAUUAACUAAUUAUUAAUCCUUUUUACCUUAAUUGAUUCUUAAUUAGGUAUUAAUUAUAGUAAUUAAGCAUUAAUAUUAAACAAUAAUUAAAUGCCAAAGGUCAUUAAGGUUAAUGACCUUAGGUCAUCAGACAAUCCCAAAAGCACUCAAAUCCUAAUUUGAGAGAUUAAGCUAAUUAAUACUUAUUUAUUUAGGAAUUAUUACUAAAUUACUAAUUAAGGGUAUACUAAUAUUUUAUUCAAACAUUAUCCAAAUGCCACCAAAUUUUGUGUGAAGCCAGGGAAUAAUAUUCCGAGACAUCCCACAAAUUUGGUGAUUUUUGGACAUUUCCAUAAAUUAUUAAAAUUCAUGGAAGUUUUAUUUACUAAUUAAAGGAUACAAUUUUUUACCUACAUAAAAAUUACCAUAAAAUGAAACCUAGUAUUUUUCAUGUGUUCUACUCACUGCAUAGAACAUAUCCAAAAAUUUUCACCAUUUUUAGACCAGCAUACAAUUUUCUACACAAAUUCAAACAUAAAGCAUAUUUAAGACAAAAAGGAAAAGAAAAACAGCACUGUGCUAAUGCGGCCGGCCCACUUAGCCUCGGCCCAAGCCGGCCCACAGGCUUCCCGUGUCACGCGCGGGCGCUGCUCCUCUCGCGUGGCCACUGACGGGCGGGUCCCACCCGUCAGAUCCUUCUCCCACCUCUCGCCGCGGCUCCGGCGAGCUCAAGCAUGCCGCCGAUGAGCUCCCGGCCUCCGCGGUAGGGUGAGUUAGCACCCUCGGCUCUCUGCACAUCUCCUGUGGCGCUCAGACCACGGGCUACCCUCCCCUAACCCCCUUGCUCGCGUCGAAGGCGGACGGCAACACAGGCCGCACGAGCACCGACCUCCACAUGCCAGUAGAACGUGAACCGAAGAGCGCAUAAGCAUGAGUGGCUCACCGCGACUUUAGUGAAGCAAACAGCGGUGGUUGAGAAGCUUGGAGAAGAGCUGGCCGCGGUGAGGAGUUCACGGCGGUGAUCUCGGCCGGAAUCAGAGAAGGACGGCUCGGGUUGGGGCUAUAAGGGGUUAGAGCGCGCGAUGGAAGGUCCAGGGAGUAGCUGAGCUCAAGGCGAAGCUCUAGAGGUGCGAUGGGGGCUCGGACAGGGAGCAGGCGAGGCAGAUUUUGCAAGCGCAGCAAGGUCGUCGGCGUUGAGCAAGAAGAGAAAAAGAGGGUCGCAGCGGGGUGUUAAUCACGGGGAGAAGUGGAUGAGGACGCCAGCGGCUCGUCCACUUCACUGCGACCGCCAGCAAGCGAGCAGCUGCGUGGCCAGGUGCGUGGCGGCGCGCGCGAAGGCGGCGCCUGCCUGCCCUGCGGCCGCGCUGAACAGAGCUCGUGAUCCUCAUCGGAUCACUGUAGCCGUCCAUAUUCCCUCCUUUUGUUGUUUUGCAAAAUUCAUCCAAAAUUUGCACUGAAGUCAAAUUUCCACCAAAACGAAAGCUGCUCAGAAUUUUAAAAGCUACAAAACAUCUUCUAGUGCUCAGAGCUGAUUCUGAGUGGAAGAGUGUGAAUUUGUCAAAACAGUUUGAAUUUCAAAAUCCCAAUUUGGGGAAAAUUCCAAUUUGAAUUGGGGCAGAUUAGAAUUUGCAAAAUUUCUUUUCAUUUUUCUGAAUAACUUGAAAAAUUCCCAAAAUGAAAGUUGUUCAAUUUGUUGAGCUCUACAACUUUCAUGUUGGUCGCUUUUCAAGAUUCCAAACAGAUUUUGAAUUGGGGAUUCAAUUUGGAAAAGGGAACAAUUCCUGGAAAUCUGUAUUUUCAAAAUUACUUUGAAUUUGGUAUUGAAACUUCAAAAACUCAAAACACCAAAGUUGUACAUCUUGGCAAGAUCUACAACUUUGCUUUUGAACUCAACCUCAAAUUUUGCGUGGUUUUUAAAUUGCACAAAAGGGGGCAAAACUAGGGUUUUAAAAUCAGUGUCCCCCCCCCAUUUUCUCGGAAAUCUUCAACACAAGGGAUUUCACAACCAAGCUAGCAUCAUUGCACAAUAUAAACACACUUUAGUUUCGUAAGCACAAGAAACCAAAGUAAACUUGUUUUAAUUUGAUGCAUCAAGUGGUGCUUAAUAAAUAUGCUAUGCAAUGCUUACGAUGUCAUGAUCAAGUUUUAGUAACCGUAACAUCAGAGAUGUUACAGCGCUCCCCUCCGAUAUAGUGUUCGGAUCUCCAAGAGUCGAGCAUUUCAACUAGUCUUCAGUAGACCAUGCUAGAGAACAUGAAAUCAAUUGCACAGAGGAGAAACGGUUAGAUUCUUGCCUCCGAACAACAAAGUACCUCGAAGCUAUGCGACGAUAUUACAACAAGAACAUCAAAGAGCUCUCCUUCAUGGUCGGCGAUCUGGUGCUCAAAUGGAAAACAAGCUAGGACGCAAUGCACAAGCUAUCCACACUGUGGGAGGGACCUUUCAUGGUCGCCGAAGUCACGCGUCCCACCUCUUACAGACUGGCUUACCCAGACGGAACAAGUCUGCCCAACUCCUGGCACAUAGACAAACUACUGUGUUUUUACCCAUAGAAGCAGUACAUCUUACCUAUAUCUUUUUCCUUAUGAAUAAUAAUAAGUUUUGUUUUUUGCUCUAUAUCUCUUCAUAUGCAGACUAUUCGACAAAAACGACAUUGCUUGUUCUCGACACGCCACAUAGUAAAAUCAAACUAGGGUACACGACAAUAUUCAUUUCAGUGAUGCAUCACUCCCACAAACUAUUUACAGCGCUCAAAACCAUGGUUUAUAAAUCUAGACUUUAUUACAAACUUUUCAAACAAAGUUUACAAUAAAAGCCCCUCUAGGCGGUUCCUAGUCUAUGCCUACAGACUACACCGGGGCCUGCUGCUCCGGAUGCUCGCUUGUACGGGCCUCCAGUACCGUUGAAGAGGUCGGGGCCACCGGUGCCUCGCUGGUCGAGACUGUAGGCGCUGAUCGCCCAUCCUCCGCAACCGAUGCCUUCGACCACUCCCUGGUCGACCCUGGUUGACUAGGGGGAGUAGAUGUCCCGCAAAGGUUGAUGUCACCAAUCACUAUCGACGACAGGUCUAGCAGGCUGACACAAAGUUCAUCUGCCUCUUUCGGACCGACCUCCUUGGGGUACCCCCCUCCAAGCGGGACAGAUCGAAUAGGGGGUAGUGAGCACGUACCAUGCUAAGGACAUGGACUACAACAUACUCCUCAGUGUCCUUCACGAACUGCUAGAGCCAGCCCCAUGCUUGCUGUGCGUUCUCAACUGGAGUCUGCUUUUGCGCGCGGGGCUGGUCUUCACGAAGCUCCGGACUCAUCACAUCUAGCACCGGGUCCACUCCCUUCCAGAUCUUAAUGCAGUUCGUCUUCCACGAAUCUCGGUCUUUGACCAGGUUCUGGACAUGCUUCUUCAUAUUGGCCUUGAGCACUGCGACAAAUUUUAAGACAAGAGGACAAUCAAUAUCAAGCUACAACACUGCAAAAUUCACACUCGCCGCAUCAAAACCGAUCUUACCAGCCAGCUCCCGGUUCCUGGUCUUCAGCUCUUCUCCGACCUUUCGCUCGACCUCCAGCGCGUGAGCAUGCUCCUGGUCGAGCUGGUCCCUCUCCUUGCGGAGGCGCUCUACUUCCUCCUCCUAACCUGCAGCAGCAACUGUUCAUAAAAAAAACCGAACACAUUGUUAGUCACAACAUAAGGCAAUAACAACGCUUACCCUUUUUCUCAUGGUCCUUAUCGGCUAUCCGCUGAGUCAGGUCUAGCAACCGCUCCUCCUGAGCAGCCUUCUUGAUGCGUCACGUUGUCCCGAUCUUCACGACGUAGGAAGAACACCGAUAACUAGCUGAAAAACAGCCGUAUAACUUGCUGCAAGCAGCGAUAAGUAGUGCAAACUGGCAAAUAAAACUCGAAGCCAACCACCGUCUUUAAACGACAACCUGAAUCGAGGAUUUGCCCAACCACACUCUCAAGGAACCAACCAACACAGCCUACAAUCAAUCAAGGAAUACCUUGAAGGGAGUAGGAGCACCAAUUGGGAGCAGAUGAAGCCGCCGCCUAUGUAAUCCCACGAGAAAAUCACAAGAGCAAAGGGGUAGAGAUCACUCUCUGAAUUUGUUAGCACGCAGCUGAACAAAGGGGUUCUGUAUUUCAAUUAUCAGAAGUCUUAGAUUACAAUUAGUCUUAGGGGUUAUUUAUACUAGCAACAGCCCUGCUAGAUAGGUAUGAAUACAAAAUAGAGUUUCUGAGGGAAGGCAAUAUGAAACGUCCCCUCGAAAUGGAUUCGUGAAGUUGCUUCGCGUGACUGUUGGCCUCUAGAGCAGUUUUCCCAAUAAACUGAUCAUAACAUUUUAUUGGGAAGUCCAAAUGAUGAACCGUUUCUUGGGUGUGAAACUAGACUCAAAGGGCUUUCCAGCAAUAUGUGCCAACCAGCACGAAACAAUGUAGAUUGGUACAGUUUUACUUGGCAAGUUGUAGCAACAUUCUGUCAUGACAAACUAUUGACCUUCUGAGUAGUCUGUACUAAUUCUGGUUUACAGGCAAUAUGGUGUAUCUGAACUGGUCACCACUAGAUUCAUUGGAAAGUAGACUCGUCAAGCUUUCCAAUAAGUCCUCAGGGACCUUCAUAGCUUUUGUGAGUACCACGUUAUGAAGAUUUGUUUGCACUGGUCCGUUUUUUACUUCCACUGGUCUGUUUUUGACUACUUCUGGAACUUGCACUGGUACGUUCUCCAGGGUCCGAUUCAUCCUUCUCUUCUUCUAUAUACCUAAGAACAAUCAAGGUACAACACUUGUGUAGUAUACAAUUCUCAUUAAUGUUAAAAUGAAUCUCACAAAGUAGCGCGUGGACCUCUUGUUGUAGCUUCUUUGCACGACUACGUGUAAUCGGUCCAUCGAUGACUUGGGCUGGUGUCGGUGUAGGUGAAACUUGAGUGGGUGUAGCUUGACUUGGAGCUUGUGACAUCUUGCUUGGUGGCGUGGUCAUAUCAUCCUCCCCCCUUGAAAAGGAGUCGUCCUCGACUCUAAAGUGUCUGCACUUGUGAAUGGUGAGAGAUCAACAACAUUGAAGGAGUUGCUCACGCCAUAACAUGCUGGAAGAUUAAUCUUGUAUGCAUUGAAAUUGAUCUUCUCAAUAACACAAAAUGGACCAUCUCCUCGUGGCAGCAAUUUUGAUUUGCGCUGCUGAGGAAAGCAAUCCUUGCGCAAGUGUAUCCACACCAAGUCCUCGGGUUCAAAUAACACCUUCUUCCUAUGUUUGUUCAUACUUGCAGCCUUGCGUCCGGCCUUGAGUUCAAUUGCUUCCUUGGUCUUCUCGUGUACCUUCUUGAUGUAUGCAGCACGGUUGGGGGCUUCCAUAUUGGUUCUUUCCUGCAAUAGAAGGGGCAACAAAUCUAUCAGAGCAAUAGGUUUGAACCCAUAUACAAUUUCAAAAGGACAAAUAUUAGUGGUAGAGUGUACUUCCCUGUUAUAUGCAAACUCCACAUGUGGCAAGCAUUCCCCCCAAACCUUCAGGUUUUUUAACCAUUGUUCGCAGCAACAUUGACAAUGUGCGAUUCACUUUCUUAUAUUUCACAAUGUAUGAAAAUGUUUCGAUGAACUCAACCCAUUUGGCAUGACGAUGGUUCAGUUUUGCUUGUCCUUUCAUGUAUUUCAAAGCUUCAUGAUCAGAGUGAAUAAUAAUUUCUUUUGGCCAUAAGUAGUGCUGCCAUGUUUCAAGCACACGUACCAAAUCAUAUAACUCUUUAUCAUACACAGAAUAAUUUAGUUGAGCACCUCCUAGUUUUUCACUAAAAUAUGCUACAGGUUUUCCUUGUUGCAUAAAAAUUCCUCCUAUGCCAAUUAUGCUAGCAUCCCAUCCAACUUCAAAAGGUUUAGUGAAAUCAGGAAGAACAAGUAAUGGUGCUUCAUUUAAAUGUUUCUUUAGUUCUUGAAAAGCAUUUUCUUGUGAUUUUCCCCAUUUAAAGUCAACACCUUUCUUUGUAAGUUCAUUCAAAGGAGCAGCGAUGGUACUGAAAUCUCUCACAAACCUCCUAUAAAAACCAGCAAGGCCAUGAAAACUUCUUACUUGACUUACAUUCAUUGGAGUUGGCCAAUGCUUGAUGGCUUUCACCUUGCUUUCAUCCACUUCUAUGCCUUUUCCUGAAACAACAAAGCCAAGAAACACAACAUGGUCUGUGCAAAAGCUGCACUUCUCCAGAUUAGCAAAUAAUUUCUCCUUUCUAAUCACUUCCAGGACUUGCCGAAUAUGAUUCAAAUGUUCCUCAAAAGACUUACUGUAAAUUAAGAUAUCACCAAAGUAGACAACAACAAAUUUUCCAAUGAAAGCUCUCAAGAUAUGGUUCAUUAACCACAUGAAAGUACUAGGAGCAUUAGUCAAACCAAAAGGCAUAACUAACCAUUCAUACAGCGCAGAUUUUGUUUUAAAUGCAAUUUUCUGUUCAUCCCCUGUUUUCAUUCUUAUGUGAUGGUGGAACCACUUAAUUCAUCAAGCAUGUCAUCUAAACGUGGAAUAGGAUGGCGAUAGCGAACAGUGAUGUUAUUUAUAGCUCUACAAUCAACACACAUCCUUCAAGAACCAUCUUUCUUAGGCACUAAAAUUACAGGAAUAGCACAAGGACUUAAACUUUCACGAAUAAAACCGUUAUCAAGAAGUUCUUGCACUUGCCUUUGUAUCUUCUUUGUUUCUUUUGGAUUGGUUCGGUAUGGUGGUCGAUUAGGUAGUGCAGCCCCUGGAAUUAGAUCAAUUUGAUGCUCAAUCCCACGAAUUGGAGGUAGUCCAGCCGGUGUUUCUUCUGGAAAAACAUCUCCAUAGUCCUACAAAAGAUGAGACACAACACUAGGAAGAGAGGUCAUGUCAUUAGCUGAAAUUAAAAUGUCUUUGUACACAAGUACAAAGAGGACUUGUUCGGGGUUGUUCCUCACUUUUCUCAUUUAUGAUUUUGUGGCUAACAUGACUAAAUUCUCUCCCUCUCCUUUCUUUUUCUCCCUCAAAUUUGGCUUGUGGCACUCACUCACCAAAUUGUGGAUGGACUCAAUUUCUUUUGCCCUCCUUCCUCUCUACUCACUGGAACAAUUUCAGAUUUCUUUUGUAAAUGUUCAGCCAUGAUUUGUUGGGGUGUCAUAGGCUUGAGAACAAACUUCUUCCCCUUUAGAUUGAUAUUGAACUGAUUUGUUCUCCCACAAUGUUGGCUAUAUCGAUCAUAUUGCCAUGGCCUUCCAAGCAGCAAGUGACACACCGACAUAGGUGCCACAUCACACUCUACUGUGUCAACAUAUUCGCCAAUAUUGAAUGGAACGUUUACUUUAUAUCCAAUCUUGAUAUCUCCUGAAUCAUUCAGCCACUCUACAUGAUAUGGAUGAAGGUGUCGUAGCAGCUUCAGGCCAAGUUUAUCAGCCAUCGCAUGACUAGCAAGAUUAUGACAGCUCCCACCAUCAAUAAUCACCUUCACCACCUUAUCAUGCACCUUUGCUCUGGUUUGAAAUAAAUUAUGUCGCUACCUAUUUUCAGCUUCUUUCAUUUGAACACUCAAGAUUUGAGUCACCACAAGAGCUGCACCAUGCUCAAAUUCACACCCAGUAUGUUCCUCAUCUUUAUGGGCCCCAUCAACAUGUUCUUCCUCAGCUUCCUCUUCAGUAGUUGAUUCAAAUUCUCCACUAUCAUUCACAAUGACCACACGAUUAUUUGGACACUCUCUUGAUACAUGUCCAAGCACUAAAUUCCACUACUCUUGGAAGUGGAACCCACUGAAGUAGUGUUUGAUGCUGCUGGUUUUGAACAUGGGAUAACAUUGUUCUUUCCACUAAAAGUACCCUGAAAAUUAGAUCGUGAGCCUCGACUUGAGCCUUUCACCAUUGAUGGUUUAGCAGAAAACUUGGUGAUUGAUUUGCUUCCUCUAAAGAAGUUCCUCAUACCAAAGGACAAGGACUUGCUGCUCUUAGCAUCUUGCUGCAAUUGACGUUCAGCUUUGGUUGCUUGAUGUACCAAAUCAAUAAGAUGACGGUAUGGCUGAAACUCAACAAUGCGCUGAAUAUUGCGAUGUAACCCAGUCAUAAAAUGUGCAAAAUUUUGCUCUUCAUCUUCAUACACAUUGGCUCUAAUCAUAGAUUUCUCCAUCUCCUUAUAAUACUCUUCAACAGAGAGACUUCCUUGCUUCAAAUUCUGCAAUUUAUCAAAAAGAUCACGCCGAUAGUGCUUCGGCACAAAAUGACUUCUCAUUUCUCUCUUCAUUUCAUCCCAAGUUGCAAUAGGAUGUCUUCCAUAUUCUUCACGAUCACUGAGUUGCUGCUCCCACCAUGUCAAAGCAUAUCCUUCAAACUACAGAGAUGCCAUUGCCAGCUUCUUCUCUUCUGAAUAAUUAUGCAAGCGAAGGAUUUUAUCCACUUUCCGCUCCCAAGUGAAAUAAGCUUCAGGAUCAGACCCACCAUCAAACUUUGGCAUGGUAAACUUCAGAUUUCCUACCCUCUCCUCAUGAUUGCCUCUUCUACGAUGUCGGCGACCAUAUCAAUAUUGAGAAUGAUCAUCAUCAUCCUCGUUUUCAGAAUCUUCAUCAUCAUGAUUUCUUCGACCGUGACCUCUUCCCCUACCUCGGUUCCUCCUUCCUUGUUCCCUUGAGCUUCUACUAGCAGCACUUCUAUCACUCAUAUCUCCAUCUUCACCAUGGUUGCUUGCUCCAUCAUGAGGUUGGCGACGCCUUCUGAUUUUAGUCAUAAGGUUCUGAAGAUCUUGUGACAACCUAUAUUGCUUUUCUUCUAUGCUUUGUCAGAGUUCAUUAAAUUGUGCCAAAGUGACAGAAUCCUCUAUUCCAUCACUCAUCUUCCUGUAAGGUUAGCUGAAUACAAAUAAUUUGUAUUUAUGGAAUAUGAAAAAUUGGUGGCCCUCACAACUCACCUCUCUAACCACCAAAGCUCUUAUGAAUUCCUCUACUGCAGAUUACAAGGAAAACAAAUGUGUGGUGGCAACUGAAAGUGAUGGUGAGGCGAAUACAAGAAUAGAGAGUACCGAUUACGAUGGUUUUUAUAUGGAGCUUGGUGGCGAGUAAUGCACAAGGAAUGCAAUCUGAAUUCUAGUUGUUGUAAAGUUAGGUAACGAUCCAAACUAAAAGUUCUGUGCCUAGUGCUGACCACAAGAUAUGAAAAGAAGUAAAUGAUCACACACACACAGAAAAUUCAGAUUUGAUGCAAACAAGGAGUAUGAUUGGGAUGCAAGUGUUGCAAUCAGACCCAACAAAAAUAUUGCACCAAACAAAGAUAGCAAACUGGUUGCAGAACUUGAUAUGAAACUUUCAACACUUGUGCACAUAAACCAACUAAUCUUCAGACUUUCUCUCUGAACCUUUCUCAACUUUUUUUUCACUUCACUUUUUUUUGCACUUUCUUAUAUAUUUUUUUUGACACACUUUUUUAUAUAGAACUAAACAUGGGGAUCAGAUUAUGACACUUGCACAACUAAAGACAGAUAUAAAACAACAACCAGUAGCUAGAUGGGAUCAAAGUUAACACAAAGGAUGAUAUAGGCUAUAUAGAUUUUUUUGUGGGAUUUUAGAUGUAAAAGAGGCACAAAGAACACGCGAAGGAUAAAUGAUCAGCAACUAAAACAAAGAUUCUAAUGGACUGCGACUUAACCGAACUCACUAAAAUACAGAUUGAAACAAAGGUCUAAGCAAUAUAUUUUUCUAGCUUUUUGGUGGAUAGGACGAAGCAAAAAUAUAUAUGUAGCUAGGGAUAGAAUUCCUACCGUGGUAACGAAAGCUUUGAUACCAGAUGAUGCAUCACGUUGUCCCAAUCUUCAUGAUGUUGGAAGAACACCGAUAACUAGCUGAAAAACAGCCAGAUAACUUGCUACAAGCAGCGAUAACUAGUGCAACCUGGCAAAUAAAACUCGAAGCCGACCACCGUCUUUAACCGGCAACCAGAAUCGAGGAUUCACCCAACCACACUCUCGAGGAACCAACCAACAUAG
This 14151-nucleotide long non-coding RNA is filed under the name Sorghum bicolor (sorghum). Its description in RNAcentral is "long non-coding RNA (SBIC_LNC008259)". The record is from RNAcentral. Lineage: Eukaryota; Viridiplantae; Streptophyta; Magnoliopsida; Poales; Poaceae.